UUAAGUUAAUAAGGGCGUACAGUGGAUGCCUUGGCACUAGAAGACGAAGAAGGACGCGACUACCUGCGAUAAGCUAUGGGGAGCUGGUGUAAGCUUUGAUCCGACGAUCUCCGAAUGGGGAAACCCGGCAUGAAAAUCAUGUCAUCUUCGAGCACAAGCUCGAAUGAAGUAACACCUAGGGAAUUGAAACAUCUUAGUACCUAGAGGAAAAGAAAGAUUAAUCGAUUCCGUAAGUAGCGGCGAGCGAAAGCGGAGGAGCCCAAACUCAGAUUUAUCUGAGGGUUCGGACCACAACAUAGCAUAGUUGUAUGACAGUAGAAUGACUUGGGAAAGUCAACCAAAGAAGGUGAGAGUCCUGUAUAUAAACUUGUACAACAGCUUAGUGAGUUCCAGAGUACGGCGAGGCACGUGGAACCUUGUCGGAAUGCGUGGAGACCACUCCAUAAGGCUAAAUACUAACUAGUGACCGAUAGUGAACCAGUACUGUGAAGGAAAGGUGAAAAGAACCCCGGGAGGGGAGUGAAAAGAAUCUGAAACUGUAUGCUUACAAAAAGUCAAAGCCCGUUAAUGGGUGAUGGCGUGCCUAUUGAAGAAUGAACCGGCGAGUUUUGUUAUCGUGCAAGGUUAAGUCGAAGAGACGGAGCCGCAGCGAAAGCGAGUCUAAAUAGGGCUAAAGUACGAUGACAUAGACCCGAAACCCGACGAUCUAUCCAUGAGCAGGUUGAAGGUGGGGUAAAACCCACUGGAGGACCGAACCGACGUUCGUUGAAACGCCCGCGGAUGACUUGUGGAUAGGGGAGAAAUUCCAAUCGAGUUGGGAGAUAGCUGGUUCUCCUCGAAAUAGUUUUAGGACUAGCGUCAGGUAAUAAAUAGUGGCGGUAGAGCACUGAAUAGACGCGGGUCGCACCUAGCGAUACCAAUUCUAAUCAAACUCCGAAUUCCAUUAUUCGUAUCCUGGCAGUCAGAGUGUGGGGGAUAAGCUUCAUGCUCAAAAGGGAAACAGCCCAGACCGUCAACUAAGGUCCCUAAAUCUACGCUAAGUGUUAAAGGAUGUGAAGAUGCAUAAACAACUAGGAUGUUGGCCCAGAAGCCGCCAUCAUUUAAAGAGUGCGUAACAGCUCACUAGUCGAGUGCCUUCGCGCCGAAGAUUUACCGGGGCUAAGCGUAGUACCGAAGUUACGGAUUUAUAGUUUUAACUAUAAGUGGUAGAGGAGCGUUCUAUGUGGGGUGAAGUCAUACCGGAAGGAGUGAUGGACUGCAUAGAAGUGAGUAUGCCGGUGUAAGUAACGAUUGCAUGUGAGAAUCAUGCACACCAUUAGACUAAGGUUUCCAGGGGAAGGGUCGUCCUCCCUGGGUUAGUCGGGUCCUAAGGCGAGGCCGAGAGGCGUAGUCGAUGGAUAGCAGGUUGAUAUUCCUGCACACAUGUAUAUGCGAUGUAAUGACAGAGGUGGCUAAUUGUACUGGUUAUUGGAUUCCAGGAUAAGCGAGGUACCUGGCUUGGUAGCAAAUCUCCAAGCCUUAAGGGGAAAGCGUGAUGUCGAUCGAACGAGCUUGCUCAAGUAGAGAAGUCGAUGAUGCCAACUCUCGAGAAAAGUUGCUAGCUUAAGUAUACAUGUCCCGUACCGAGAACGGACACACGUGGUCAAGGAGAGUAUCCUAAGGUGAGCGAGUGAACUGUUGUUAAGGAACUCUGCAAAAUUACUUCGUAAGUUCGCAAGAAGAAGUGCCUGUGAAAGCAGGCCGCAGUGAAGAGGCCCAAGUAACUGUUUAUCAAAAACAUAGCUCUAUGCUAAGCCGUAAGGCGAUGUAUAUGGGGUGAUGCCUGCCCAGUGCAGGAAGGUUAAGAGGAGAGGUCAGCGCAAGCGAAGCUUUGAAUCGAAGCCCCUGUGAACGGCGGCCGUAACAAUAACGGUCCUAAGGUAGCGAAAUUCCUUGUCGGGUAAGUUCCGACGCGCAUGAAUGGUAUAAUAAUUUGGGCGCUGUCUCGACAGCAGACUCGGUGAAAUCUUAAUACCUGUGAAGAUGCAGGUUACCCGCGACUAGACGGAGAGACCCCAUGGAGCUUUACUGUAACUUAAUAUUGAGUGCUUGGAAUUCAUAUGUAGGAUAGGUUGGAGACUGUGAAAUCGGUGCGCUAGCAUCGAGGGAGUCAUCGGUGAAAUACAACUUUUGGAUUUCAAUCAUUCUAACUCAUAGAUUUACUCUCUAGAGGACAGUGUUAGGCGGGCAGUUUGACUGGGGCGGUCGCCUCCCAAAAUGUAACGGAGGCGCCCCAAGGUACCCUCAAUACGGUUGGAAAUCGUAUUUCGAGUGCAAUGGCAUAAGGGUGCUUGACUGCGAGAGGUACAUCUCGAGCAGGGACGAAAGUCGGGCAUAGUGAUCCGGCGAUUCCGAGUGGAAGGAUCGUCGCUCAACGGAUAAAAGCUACCCUGGGGAUAACAGGCUGAUCGUUUCCAAGAGUUCACAUCGACGAAACGGUUUGGCACCUCGAUGUCGGCUCAUCACAUCCUGGAGGGGAAGUACCUUCCAAGGGUUUGGCUGUUCGCCAAUUAAAGUGGUACGCGAGCUGGGUUCAAAACGUCGUGAGACAGUUUGGUCCCUAUCUGUCGUGGGCGUAGGAAGUUUGAACGGACCUGUCCUUAGUACGAGAGGACCGGGAUGGACAUGGCAACGGUAUAUCAGUUGUUCCGCCAGGAGCAUGGCUGAGUAGCUGCCCAUGGAAAGGAUAAACGCUGAAAGCAUCUAAGCGCGAAGCCUACCGUAAGAUGAGACUUCCCAUUCGUAAGAAGUAAGUGCCCUUCAAUGUCAGGAGGUUGAUAGGAUACAGCUGUAAGCACUGUAAGGUGUUUAGGUGAGUAUUACUAAUAGCACGAGGACUUAAUUU
RNAcentral lists this ribosomal RNA (2884 nucleotides) under gut metagenome. RNAcentral's name for it is "bacterial LSU rRNA". It matches the Rfam family "Bacterial large subunit ribosomal RNA". The record is from RNAcentral.